Heterocephalus glaber (naked mole-rat) is the source of this 180-nucleotide long non-coding RNA. RefSeq lists it as uncharacterized. Lineage: Eukaryota; Metazoa; Chordata; Mammalia; Rodentia; Bathyergidae. The record is from RefSeq and is a predicted model, not a curated record.
GGAGGAGGAAACCAAGAUGGAGCCGAGGGCUGAGUCAGGAACAUUCCAGUCCUAGUGUCUUGGAAAGGGGUCUGAGGAGUUCCCCAAAGAUCACCAACUCACCCUCAGAACUGAGGAUCCAACCUCAGGACCUUGGGCUUGCCAGAAUGGAGCAACUGAGAGUCAACUUGACAGGCCCCA